GUGAGGAAUAUUGGUCAAUGGGCGGGAGCCUGAACCAGCCAAGUCGCGUGAAGGAAGAAGGAUCUAUGGUUCGUAAACUUCUUUUGCAGGGGAAUAAAGUGCGGGACGUGUCCUGUUUUGUAUGUACCCUGAGAAUAAGGAUCGGCUAACUCCGUGCCAGCAGCCGCGGUAAUACGGAGGAUCCGAGCGUUAUCCGGAUUUAUUGGGUUUAAAGGGUGCGUAGGUGGUUUGAUAAGUCAGCGGUGAAAGUUUGCAGCUUAACUGUAAAAAUGCCGUUGAAACUGUCGGACUUGAGUGUAAAUGAGGUAGGCGGAAUGCGUGGUGUAGCGGUGAAAUGCAUAGAUAUCACGCAGAACUCCGAUUGCGAAGGCAGCUUACUAAGCUACAACUGACACUGAAGCACGAAAGCGUCGGGAUCAAACAGGAUUAGAUACCCCAGUAGUCC
Molecule: ribosomal RNA, 445 nt
Filed under: uncultured bacterium
Lineage: Bacteria
Description: partial 16S ribosomal RNA
Rfam family: Bacterial small subunit ribosomal RNA
Source: RNAcentral